RNAcentral lists this long non-coding RNA (857 nucleotides) under Cyanistes caeruleus (blue tit). RNAcentral describes it as "lncRNA (ENSCCEG00000021999.1)". Lineage: Eukaryota; Metazoa; Chordata; Aves; Passeriformes; Paridae. The record is from RNAcentral.
AGGGCAUGUCCUUACUGUGAGAGUACAAGACUGGCCCUCCCAGGGAGCUGACCUGCUGAUGGGAUAAGGUGUUGUUCCUUCUGGGGGUUGAAACAUAUCCACCUGUAGGAAAAUGAGAAAGAAAGCCACCUGGAUUUAAUUAAAGCUGUGAUUAAAUCUUUCUCCAUCAGGCUGGGUAGAGCCCCAGGAGAUUAUCUACUAUUUUCCUUAAUUCCCCUGGUGCAGGUUGAAAUAUGCCUUGGAUAGAAGUUAGGAAACAGCUUCAUGUGGAAAAGAGCUAGAACAUCAUAGCAGGAAUGCUGAGGCCAGAGCAGAAGAAAAAGGUGAAACUCAGCAGUGACUAAUAAUGCAAAACUGCUCUUGGGCAGGAGCCUGAGCAGUUAGAAAAUACUGAGAAGGAGGAAAGAUGCCAGAUUAGAGGCUGGUCACGGGAUGACUACGAGCCAUCAAUGUUUAUUUCUGGUGAAAAAGGCAAACUGAGUGUGGGGAUGCAGGGGGUGAGCUGAGAGCAGCCCCAGUGCUGCAGUUGUGAGGAAUGAUGCUGUAGCGAGGUUCUGGGUGUUCCUUACACAACACCACGGUGGAAAUGAGCCUAGAGAAAAGAUCCAUGUGCUGCUGGAGUGCUGUGAAGUCACACCCAGUGUGAGCUGAUGUUGUGACAGCCUGAGGCCCUGCUCUGCCAGCCCAGCCUUGCAUCUCCAUUCCUGGGGGGUUGGGGCACUCUUCACUCAUCCCUGUGGACAAUCACCUUGCAAGCCUGUAAAAAAUGAGGCCUGCCGAUGAGCUGUGCUGCUUACUGAGGCUCUGGACCUGCCAGUUGUUCCCCAUCCUAAACACACACACCUGAACUUUGCUGU